This 422-nucleotide ribosomal RNA is filed under the name uncultured bacterium. RNAcentral's name for it is "bacterial SSU rRNA". It matches the Rfam family "Bacterial small subunit ribosomal RNA", at positions 28 to 414 of the family's 1533-position model. The record is from RNAcentral.
GACGAACGCUGGCGGCGUGCCUAAUACAUGCAAGUCGAACGCACUCUCGUUUAGAUUGAAGGAGCUUGCUCCUGAUUGAUAAACAUUUGAGUGAGUGGCGGACGGGUGAGUAACACGUGGGUAACCUGCCCUAAAGUGGGGGAUAACAUUUGGAAACAGAUGCUAAUACCGCAUAAAACCUAAACACCGCAUGGUGUAGGUUGAAAGAUGGUUUCGGCUAUCACUUUAGGAUGGACCGCGGUGCAUUAGUUAGUUGGUGAGGUAAAGGCUCACCAAGACCGUGAUGCAUAGCCGACCUGAGAGGGUAAUCGGCCACACUGGGACUGAGACACGGCCCAGACUCCUACGGGAGGCAGCAGUAGGGAAUCUUUCCACCAAUGGACGAAAGUACUGAUGGAGCAACGCCGCGUGAGUGAAGAAGG